RNAcentral lists this ribosomal RNA (751 nucleotides) under uncultured bacterium. RNAcentral's name for it is "bacterial SSU rRNA". It matches the Rfam family "Archaeal small subunit ribosomal RNA", at positions 21 to 781 of the family's 1478-position model. The record is from RNAcentral.
CCUGACUGCUAUCGGAUUGAUACUAAGCCAUGCGAGUCAUUGUAGUAAUACAAGGCAGACGGCUCAGUAACGCGUAGUCAACCUACCCUAUGGACGGGAAUAACCUCGGGAAACUGAGUAUAAUGCCCGAUAGAACACUAUACCUGGAAUGGUUUGUGUUCCAAAUGAAUGUCGCCGUAGGAUGGGACUGCGGCCUAUCAGUUUGUUGGUGAGGUAAUGGCCCACCAAGACUAUUACAGGUACGGGCUCUGAGAGGAGUAGCCCGGAGAUGGGUACUGAGACACGGACCCAGGCCCUAUGGGGCGCAGCAGGCGAGAAAACUUUGCAAUGUGCGAAAGCACGACAAGGUUAAUCCGAGUGGUUUGUGCUAAACGAACCUUUUGACAGUCCUAGAAACACUGUUGAAUAAGGGGUGGGCAAGUUCUGGUGUCAGCCGCCGCGGUAAAACCAGCACCUCAAGUGGUCAGGAUGAUUAUUGGGCCUAAAGCAUCCGUAGCCGGCUCUGUAAGUUUUCGGUUAAAUCUGUACGCUCAACGUACAGGCUGCCGGGAAUACUGCAGAGCUAGGGAGUGGGAGAGGUAGACGGUACUCGGUAGGAAGGGGUAAAAUCCUUUGAUCUAUUGAUGACCACCUGUGGCGAAGGCGGUCUACCAGAACACGUCCGACGGUGAGGGAUGAAAGCUGGGGGAGCAAACCGGAUUAGAUACCCGGGUAGUCCCAGCUGUAACUAUGCAAACUCAGUGAUGCAUUG